AUCCCAGCCACAAGCUAAAGAUCAGUAAAAAGCACAUAAAGAUUGAGAAUAAGUUAAUAAACCUGAUAAAUUAAUAACAACAAAUAAAGGAAAAUUUUGUGAGCGUCUAAGGAGUUUUUUUUAAUAAUUUAGUGAAAUUUUAAUAGGCAGCAGCAACAGCCUGUUUUCGGCUAUCACUUAAACCGUACAAUGUGCCGUUGGUGCGGAAAACAGCUUGAAUUUCACUGAAAGGAUAUUGAACGGGGAUUAAAUCCACUAUAUGACCAAACUUUUCUAAAGCUCUAAGAACUUCAAUUUCAACAGUUUCAUCGAUAUAGACGAUAUUAGGCAUUAGCUGAUGAUGAAAUCUAGGACUCUCAACAGAUUCUAACAAUGACUUGCCCCAUUUAUAUUUUUUAAUAAUUGUGUCUAACACAGCUGUCACGAUUCGGCUGCCACCGCUACCACCAAGAACCAUUUCAACUUCACCAUUAUAUACCAAAAUCGUAGGCACCGCGGAGCUUUGUGGUCGCUUACCAGGGGCAAUAAAGUUGUAUGGCGAUGGACUCAAACCGAAAGCAUUCACUAUUCCUGGAGAAGCAAAAUCGUCCAUGUGAUCAUUCAGUAUAAUACCCGUUUCAGGUUCCAAAAGUUGUGAACCAAACAUCAAAUUGAUAGAAGCUGUGAGUCCGACUGCCAUAUUGUCUUUGUCGAUAACGGAAAGAUGAGUAGUGCCGUGAUCGUUAGGGAAAUCGUAUUCGGCCUUGUAGUGAGUAAAAUCAAAAGUCCUCUCGUUAGAAAUAUUAUUGCGAAUUUCAUCAGCAUAUUCCAAAGAAAGUAACUGUUCAACAUG
Schizosaccharomyces pombe (fission yeast) is the source of this 832-nucleotide non-coding RNA. Lineage: Eukaryota; Fungi; Ascomycota; Schizosaccharomycetes; Schizosaccharomycetales; Schizosaccharomycetaceae. The record is from the annotation of a GenBank genome assembly.